This 326-nucleotide ribosomal RNA is filed under the name uncultured bacterium. Its description in RNAcentral is "bacterial SSU rRNA". It matches the Rfam family "Bacterial small subunit ribosomal RNA", at positions 568 to 898 of the family's 1533-position model. The record is from RNAcentral.
UCCGUAGGCGGUUUAGUAAGUCAGUGGUGAAAGCCCAUCGCUCAACGGUGGAACGGCCAUUGAUACUGCUAGACUUGAAUUAUUAGGAAGUAACUAGAAUAUGUAGUGUAGCGGUGAAAUGCUUAGAGAUUACAUGGAAUACCAAUUGCGAAGGCAGGUUACUACUAAUGGAUUGACGCUGAUGGACGAAAGCGUGGGUAGCGAACAGGAUUAGAUACCCUGGUAGUCCACGCUGUAAACGAUGGAUACUAGCUGUUGGGGGCAACUUCAGUGGCUAAGCGAAAGUGAUAAGUAUCCCACCUGGGGAGUACGUUCGCAAGAAUGAA